This 207-nucleotide ribosomal RNA is filed under the name uncultured bacterium. RNAcentral's name for it is "partial 16S ribosomal RNA". It matches the Rfam family "Bacterial small subunit ribosomal RNA", at positions 568 to 774 of the family's 1533-position model. The record is from RNAcentral.
UACGUAGGCGGUCUGUUAAGUCAGAUGUGAAAGCCCCGGGCUUAACCUGGGAACUGCAUUUGAUACUGGCAGACUAGAGUAUGGUAGAGGGGGGUAGAAUUCCUAGUGUAGCGGUGAAAUGCGUAGAUAUUAGGAGGAAUACCAGUGGCGAAGGCGGCCCCCUGGACCAAUACUGACGCUGAGGUACGAAAGCGUGGGUAGCGAACA